Molecule: transfer RNA, 82 nt
Filed under: Ophiocordyceps sinensis CO18
Lineage: Eukaryota; Fungi; Ascomycota; Sordariomycetes; Hypocreales; Ophiocordycipitaceae
Description: tRNA-Leu (AAG) (tRNA-Leu-AAG-3-1)
Rfam family: tRNA
About the family: Transfer RNA (tRNA) molecules are approximately 80 nucleotides in length. Their secondary structure includes four short double-helical elements and three loops (D, anti-codon, and T loops).
Source: RNAcentral
GGCAAGUUGGCCGAGUUGGUUAUGGCGCCAGGUUAAGGUCCUGGUGGAGCAAUCCUCCUGGGUUCAAGUCCCAGACUUGUCA